AUUGUGCUGCCGAACGGAACCGGCGACGGGUGCGUAACACGUAUGUAACCUACCUCUAACUGGGGCAUAGCCCGAAGAAAUUCGGAUUAAUACCCCAUAAUAUUAUCUAAAGGCAUCUUUUAAUAAUUAAAGUUCCGGCGGUUAGAGAUGGACAUGCGGUCCAUUAGCUUGUUGGUGAGGUAACGGCUCACCAAGGCAACGAUGGAUAGGGGGUCUGAGAGGAUGAUCCCCCACACUGGUACUGAGACACGGACCAGACUCCUACGGGAGGCAGCAGUAGGGAAUAUUGGACAAUGGGCGAAAGCCUGAUCCAGCCAUGCCGCGUGCAGGAUGACUGCCCUAUGGGUUGUAAACUGCUUUUAUAUGGGAAGAAACACUCCGACGUGUCGGAGCUUGACGGUACCAUACGAAUAAGGAUCGGCUAACUCCGUGCCAGCAGCCGCGGUAAUACGGAGGAUCCAAGCGUUGUCCGGAUUUAUUGGGUUUAAAGGGUGCGUAGGCGGAUUAAUAAGUCAGUGGUGAAAGCCUGCAGCUUAACUGUAGAAUUGCCAUUGAAACUGUUAGUCUUGAGUUUGGUCGAGGUAGAUGGAAUGUAUCAUGUAGCGGUGAAAUGCUUAGAUAUGAUACAGAACACCGAUUGCGAAGGCAGUCUACUAGGCCAAUACUGACGCUGAGGCACGAAAGCAUGGGUAUCGAACAGGAUUAGAUACCCUGGUAGUCCAUGCUGUAAACGAUGAAUACUCGAUGUUGGCGAUAUACUGUCAGCGUUCAAGCGAAAGCAUUAAGUAUUCCACCUGGGGAGUACGAUCGCAAGGUUGAAACUCAAAGGAAUUGACGGGGGCCCGCACAAGCGGUGGAGCAUGUGGUUUAAUUCGAUGGUACGCGAGGAACCUUACCUGGGCUUAAAUGGUAUGGGACCGUUGCCGAAGGUGACUUUCUUUAUGACCGAUAUCAAGGUGCUGCAUGGCUGUCGUCAGCUCGUGCCGUGAGUGUUGGGUUAAG
This 1002-nucleotide ribosomal RNA is filed under the name uncultured bacterium. RNAcentral's name for it is "bacterial SSU rRNA". It matches the Rfam family "Bacterial small subunit ribosomal RNA", at positions 77 to 1084 of the family's 1533-position model. The record is from RNAcentral.